UACGGAGGAUGCGAGCGUUAUCCGGAUUUACUGGGUGUAAAGGGAGCGUAGGUGGCGUGCCAAGUCAGGAGUGAAAACCCAGGGCCCAACCCUGGGACUGCUCUUGAAACUGGCAGGCUUGAGUGCUGGAGAGGUAAGCGGAAUUCCUAGUGUAGCGGUGAAAUGCGUAGAUAUUAGGAGGAACACCAGUGGCGAAGGCGGCUGUCUGGUCUGCAACUGACGCUGAGGCUCGAAAGCAUGGGUAGCGAACAGG
This 253-nucleotide ribosomal RNA is filed under the name uncultured Eubacteriales bacterium. Its description in RNAcentral is "uncultured Clostridiales bacterium partial 16S ribosomal RNA". It matches the Rfam family "Bacterial small subunit ribosomal RNA", at positions 524 to 776 of the family's 1533-position model. Lineage: Bacteria; Bacillati; Bacillota; Clostridia; Eubacteriales. The record is from RNAcentral.